UUAGCUGGUCUGAGAGGACGAUCAGCCACAUUGGGACUGAGACACGGCCCAGACUCCUACGGGAGGCAGCAGUGGGGAAUAUUGGACAAUGGGCGCAAGCCUGAUCCAGCCAUACCGCGUGUGUGAAGAAGGCCUUCGGGUUGUAAAGCACUUUAAGCAGGGAGAAAAAGUUAUAAGUUAAUACCUUAUAACCGUGAUGUUACCUGCAGAAUAAGCACCGGCUAAUUCCGUGCCAGCAGCCGCGGUAAUACGGAAGGUGCAAGCGUUAAUCGGAAUUACUGGGCGUAAAGCGCGCGUAGGUGGUUUGUUAAGUUGGAUGUGAAAGCCCUGGGCUCAACCUAGGAACUGCAUCCAAAACUAACUCACUAGAGUACGAUAGAGGGAGGUAGAAUUCAUAGUGUAGCGGUGGAAUGCGUAGAUAUUAUGAAGAAUACCGGUGGCGAAGGCGGCCUCCUGGAUCUGUACUGACACUGAGGUGCGAAAGCGUGGGUAGCGAACAGGAUUAGAUACCCUGGUAGUCCACGCCGUAAACGAUGACAACUAGCUGUUGGGAGACAAUGUCUUUCAGUGGCGCAGCUAACGUUUUAAGUUGUCCGCCUGGGGAGUACGGCCGCAAGGCUAAAACUCAAAUGAAUUGACGGGGACCCGCACAAGCGGUGGAGCAUGUGGUUUAAUUCGAUGCAACGCGAAAAACCUUACCUACUCUUGACAUACUUGGAAGCUCUUGUAAUGAGAGUGUGCCUUUUGGAACCAAGAUACAGGUGCUGCAUGGCUGUCGUCAGCUCGUGUCGUGAGAUGUUCCGUUAAGUCGGAUAACGAGCGCAACCCUUACCCUUAUUUGCCAGCGAUUAGGUCGGGAACUAUAAGGGGACUGCCGGUGAUAAACCGGAGGAAGGUGAGGACGACGUCAAGUCAUCAUGGCCCUUACGAGUAGGGCUACACACGUGCUACAAU
This 954-nucleotide ribosomal RNA is filed under the name marine metagenome. RNAcentral's name for it is "bacterial SSU rRNA". It matches the Rfam family "Bacterial small subunit ribosomal RNA", at positions 283 to 1231 of the family's 1533-position model. The record is from RNAcentral.